This is a non-coding RNA of Penaeus vannamei (Pacific white shrimp), 234 nucleotides long. Lineage: Eukaryota; Metazoa; Arthropoda; Malacostraca; Decapoda; Penaeidae. The record is from RefSeq and is a predicted model, not a curated record.
GGAGAGCGGGUUCGCCAGGGGCCCGAGGAAGGCAGUCAGACACCUUGUUUUCUUCCCGACAGUGGCCUGGGUGGACGGCGCGGCGCAGGUUAAAUCUUUAACAAAUAAUAAGGAAAGAAGAUAAUAAGGGAUUCAGAACAAGUAUUCCAAGAAAAAAGGAAUACCCAAAAGAGGAAAAAGAAAUAGAGAAACUAAAAGAAAAGCAAAAGAGAAAAAAAAAAACUAGAAAAAAAA